Molecule: ribosomal RNA, 779 nt
Filed under: Chrysoporthe deuterocubensis
Lineage: Eukaryota; Fungi; Ascomycota; Sordariomycetes; Diaporthales; Cryphonectriaceae
Description: partial large subunit ribosomal RNA
Rfam family: Eukaryotic large subunit ribosomal RNA
Source: RNAcentral
UGAAGCGGCAACAGCUCAAAUUUGAAAUCUGGCCUCGGCCCGAGUUGUAAUUUGCAGAGGAUGUUUCUGGCGCGGUGCCUUCCGAGUUCCCUGGAACGGGACGCCACAGAGGGUGAGAGCCCCGUAUGGUUGGACACUAAGCCUGUGUGAAACUCCUUCGACGAGUCGAGUAGUUUGGGAAUGCUGCUCAAAAUGGGAGGUAAAUCUCUUCUAAAGCUAAAUACCGGCCAGAGACCGAUAGCGCACAAGUAGAGUGAUCGAAAGAUGAAAAGCACCUUGAAAAGGGGGUUAAACAGUACGUGAAAUUGUUGAAAGGGAAGCGCUUGUGACCAGACUUGCGCCGGGCGGCUCAUCCGGGGUUCUCCCCGGUGCACUCCGCCCGGCUCAGGCCAGCAUCGGUUCUCGUUGGGGGAUAAGAACGGCAGGAACGUGGCCCUCCUUCGGGUGGGUGUUAUAGCCUGCCGUACGAUACCCUGACGGGGACCGAGGUUCGCGCUCCGCAAGGAUGCUGGCGUAAUGGUCAUCAGCGACCCGUCUUGAAACACGGACCAAGGAGUCGUCCAUUAGAGCGAGCGUUUGGGUGUCAAACCCGCACGCGUAAUGAAAGUGAAAUUAGGUGAGAGCUUCGGCGCAUCAUCGACCGAUCCUGAUGUUCUCGGAUGGAUUUGAGUAAGAGUUUUAACGGACGGACCCGAAAGACAGUGAACUAUGCUUGUAUAGGGUGAAGCCAGAGGAAACUCUGGUGGAGGCUCGCAGCGGUUCUGACGUGCAAAUCGAUC